Scylla paramamosain (green mud crab) is the source of this 1327-nucleotide long non-coding RNA. RefSeq lists it as uncharacterized. The transcript has 2 exons. NCBI's taxonomy places the organism in Eukaryota, Metazoa, Arthropoda, Malacostraca, Decapoda, Portunidae. The record is from RefSeq and is a predicted model, not a curated record.
UAGUGUUAAAUCCCCAGUCAACCCAACUUACCGGGUUGAAGGGGGAUUUAAUGGGUUGGUAAAUCCGCUAAAUUCAUUGCCAGGAUGGAAAAGGCCUAUCCUGAUAAUGAAUUUAACUCUCAAGCCAGUAUAAAGGAUGAGAGACAACCCAUAAUGUUAAAACAAACAAUAAAAAUUUUCCCGACUUUUUCCUCCACUUUAAAAUUUAUUAUUGUCUUACUAUUGUAUUAAUACAUACCAUAAUCAUUAAACAAACAGACUUUUAUCAAUAUUACACACCUUUGAACAUACCAGGAUGCCAAACUGAAUGGUACGAGUAUUAAAGUUCCGAUCACGAGCAAUUUUUUUUUUCGCUAGGAAAAUAUUCAUAAAAAAUUUAGUUUUACAGCGAUCCUCAUGAAACUUUCAUAGAUUCCUUAUUAUAAUAGGUACUCUUAAUUUAAAUACUUAGAACCACUGUUACAGAGAAAAAAAAUUAUGGUUCGAACAUGAUUAUGCGCAUGUUAAGUUAAGUUUAUUUUACGUUCGUGCUACCCGUCAGUGGUAUGGUUCCAAUAUUAUUUGUUUUAUUUCUCUUAAUAUACUUCUUAUUGUAUGCUGAACGAGUUUACACCAACUAUGUAUGUAUUUGUCCGUAAAUUGUGUAUUUGAUAUUUGAUGUGAUAAAAAUACUGUAUAAGUAGACUACAAUGGAUUUGUUAAAGAGUAUAGUUUAUGCGGAGUGGCACACGGUUGUUGUGGAGGCCCGCGCGGCCUGAUAUAGACACUGAGAGACAGGAGAGUGAGACAAGUGGAGACGGUUUGCUAGCUACGGGUCUCCCUCGUAGGACUCGGGAAUAAGGUCGCCCCUCCUGUUCUAUAGACUGGUUAUGAAAGUGAGACGUCAGUGGAUUACCUAUCAAUUAUCAAAGCACCAGUGACGUAUCCGGCUGUUGGGGAUUCCACGCCAUAGUAUUUUCAACACAACUGACGCUGGCAAUGUUGUGAGUGUUAUGGUUAUUGUGUAUUUGUGUGAUUUUUGUCAUGCUAUGAUUUACAGUGAUAUGUAUGAGGAUUUUCUGAGCUUUAUAAUGAUGUGAGUCACACAGGGUAUUUAUCCAUUGUUUGGGAGGUUUAUCAUAUUGUGAACUGCAGAGAUAUUUUUGUGAUUUCUGUACUUAUUAUACUAUGAGGUACAUGGGAACUAUUCAAGGUCUGAUCAUGUUAUGUAGUGAUUAUUUUUGUAUUUUUAGUGUUUCUACGCUCAUAUGAUUUUACCAUGAUUUGGUAUCGGGCUGAUUUAUCCUGGACCCACAGGUUGGAACGCUACAAUAAAUGUUGCAACACA